GAAGCUGUCUUCGAGCAGUGUAGGAAAGCAGAGCAGAUUCUGAGUGCUUCAGUAGCUCAACAGCCUGUCCUGGCGUGGUGGAGAGGCAGGCAGACAAUUGAGACAGAUGUGGAAUCCAGUGUUCGGCGUAGCAGGAAUAGUCAGGCGUGCGGCAAGUCUGAGCACAAAGAAAUACAAGAUAAGCAUAAACACACAUUAACAAGACAUCAAAAGUUGUCUUUCUAGACUCUAGUGUUACUGGAUAGGAUAACCAACAAACUAGCGAAAUCCAGAGUGAGGAACCAGGGUAUAAGUACUGCAGAGUCUUGAUUGGUGGAUGAGCCUCAGGUGUGCAGCAGGUAGUGAGAGAGGACCAGGUGGGUGGUGAUUGGCAUUAGAGAGAGGAUGGCCACACUCUGGGACAUACAUACAUACAUACAUACAUACAUACAAGGGAGAGACAAACGGGGGACUCACAAGGCACAGGGGAAUGGAGAAAAUAAGGGCCCCAGGCUCAUCAGCAAGACCCCAGACCUACUUUGCAGCUCCUAACAUGACCCACACAUUGACUGCUGUAAAAUCCAUGUCUUCAAACUAAUUAGAUGGACACAGAACGCAAUUAGGGCAACUGAUAAUUAAUGCUGUGACUAAAUAUGUGCCUGGAAGAUCUUCUGGAUCACAGCCACAGUGGAACAGAUACAGUUGUGGAAGCUCCUCCCAGCAAGGAUGUGAGAGAGAGAUGCGAGGACAGAGGAGCCGAAGCUGCCAAAUGAGAAAUCCUUGGUUCUGUAGCGUCAGUCUUAAGCGACGUCAGAUACUUAUGAUGUGCUGCACAGCUGUAUCAUCUGUCAAACCGAAAACCUUACAGUGUCUUUCAUAGAUAGAUACAGAGAUAGAGAGAGAUACAGUAUAUGACAAUCUCUUAUAGGCAUAUGAAAGUCUUACAUACACAAGAAACCUUUAUUCAUUUAGAUUUUUAAAUUAACAUAGCCAAUUAUUAGUAGUACUAUUACUGUUGUUGCUUUUAAU
Molecule: long non-coding RNA, 1008 nt
Organism: Siniperca chuatsi (mandarin fish)
Lineage: Eukaryota; Metazoa; Chordata; Actinopteri; Centrarchiformes; Sinipercidae
Exons: 3
Source: RefSeq, a predicted model, not a curated record